UGCGUGCUUGUCACGUGACCAACACAUUGCAACGUGCGGUGCGGUGCAAUGAGUUGGCCGUCUAGACAAGGCUGA
This 75-nucleotide microRNA precursor is filed under the name Petromyzon marinus (sea lamprey). RNAcentral describes it as "microRNA pma-mir-4627 precursor". The record is from miRBase by way of RNAcentral. Lineage: Eukaryota; Metazoa; Chordata; Hyperoartia; Petromyzontiformes; Petromyzontidae.